GCCAGGCGUGGUGGUGCACACCUGUAAUCCCAGCUACUCAGGAGGCUAAGGCAGGAGAAUUGCUUGAACCCAGGAGGCAGAGGUUGCAGUGAGCUGAGAUCGCACCACUGCACUCCAGCCUGGGUGACAGAGCAAGACUCUGCCUCAA
RNAcentral lists this non-coding RNA (148 nucleotides) under Gorilla gorilla gorilla (western lowland gorilla). Lineage: Eukaryota; Metazoa; Chordata; Mammalia; Primates; Hominidae. The record is from Rfam by way of RNAcentral.